RNAcentral lists this ribosomal RNA (253 nucleotides) under uncultured bacterium. RNAcentral describes it as "partial 16S ribosomal RNA". It matches the Rfam family "Bacterial small subunit ribosomal RNA", at positions 524 to 776 of the family's 1533-position model. The record is from RNAcentral.
UACGAGGGGGGCGAGCGUUGUUCGGAUUUAUUGGGCGUAAAGGGCGCGCAGGCGGCCGGAUAAGUCUUGUGUGAAAUCUUCGGGCUCAACUCGAAGUCUGCACAGGAAACUAUCUGGCUUGAGUGUGGGAGAGGUGAGUGGAAUUCCUGGUGUAGCGGUGAAAUGCGUAGAUAUCAGGAGGAACACCUGUGGCGAAAGCGGCUCACUGGACCACAACUGACGCUGAGGCGCGAAAGCUAGGGGAGCAAACAGG